GUCCCCGUAGCGCAAUGGAUAGAGCGCAAGCCUCCGAAGCUUGAAGUGUGAGUUCGAGCCUCACCGGGGACACCA
RNAcentral lists this transfer RNA (75 nucleotides) under Chloroflexota bacterium. RNAcentral describes it as "Chloroflexi bacterium (anaerobic digester metagenome) tRNA-Arg". It matches the Rfam family "tRNA". Rfam says of the family: Transfer RNA (tRNA) molecules are approximately 80 nucleotides in length. Their secondary structure includes four short double-helical elements and three loops (D, anti-codon, and T loops). Lineage: Bacteria; Bacillati; Chloroflexota. The record is from RNAcentral. RNAcentral also lists the same sequence under 1 other name.